GCUAAAAAGGUUCGUGAUACCCCGGUGGUUGAGAAGCGCAAAAACAGGCAACAAAUAUUGACACCGGAUACUAAUACAUGCGGACCAGCAAUGCGGACAAGGGGGGCUAGAAAAGUUAAGGAUGCACAUUGUGAGGAGAAGGUACGCAGGAGAAAGCUAAUAAUUUUACCAGAUAGUGACUUGGACACUCCGAUGGAAAACAUUGA
Molecule: long non-coding RNA, 206 nt
Organism: Helianthus annuus (common sunflower)
Lineage: Eukaryota; Viridiplantae; Streptophyta; Magnoliopsida; Asterales; Asteraceae
Exons: 4
Source: RefSeq, a predicted model, not a curated record